This 292-nucleotide ribosomal RNA is filed under the name uncultured bacterium. RNAcentral describes it as "partial 16S ribosomal RNA". The record is from RNAcentral. RNAcentral also lists the same sequence under 1 other name.
GGACUACUGGGGUUUCUAAUCCCGUUUGCUCCCCUAGCUUUCGCACCUCAGCGUCAGUCAUGGACCAGAGAGCCGCCUUCGCCACCGGUGUUCCUCCUGAUAUCUACGCAUUUCACCGCUCCACCAGGAGUUCCGCUCUCCCCUACCAUCCUCUAGCACCGCAGUCUGCCAGGCAGUUCCACGGGUAAGCCGUGGGAUUUCACCCAACACUUGCGGCGCCGCCUACGUGCGCUUUAAGCCCAGUAAUUCCGAACAACGUUUGCACUCUCUGUAUUACCGCGGCGGCUGGCAC